UGAGGAAUAUUGGUCAAUGGGGCAACCCUGAACCAGCCAAGUCGCGUGAAGGAUGAAGGUCUUAUGGAUUGUAAACUUCUUUUAUACAGGAAUAAAUUGGGGGACGUGUCCCCUUUUGCAUGUACUGGAUGAAUAAGGAUCGGCUAACUCCGUGCCAGCAGCCGCGGUAAUACGGAGGAUCCGAGCGUUAUCCGGAUGUAUUGGGUUUAAAGGGUGCGCAGGCGGGAUGUUAAGUCGGCGGUGAAAUUUUGCAGCUCAACUGUAAAAGUGCCUUGGAUACUGGCAUCCUUGAGUGUGGAUGAAGUAGGCGGAAUUUGUGGUGUAGCGGUGAAAUGCUUAGAUAUCACGAGGAACUCCGAUUGCGCAGGCAGCUUACUAAGCCACAACUGACGCUCAUGCACGAAGGCGUGGGGAUCAAACA
Molecule: ribosomal RNA, 421 nt
Filed under: uncultured bacterium
Lineage: Bacteria
Description: bacterial SSU rRNA
Rfam family: Bacterial small subunit ribosomal RNA
Source: RNAcentral